AACAAGGUUUCCGUAGGUGAACCUGCGGAAGGAUCAUUAAAGUUCUCCUUUCAAGUUAUAAACAAAAACACAAUAUAUAAAAUACUUAUAUUGUAAAAUUAUGGCAAAUGCCAAAAAGAAACAAAAUAACAAUAAUAAAAAUGUUUAUUAUUGUAUCGCCUCCUAGGCAAAAAAGUAUAGUAUAAAGUGUUUGUGUGUGUUACACAUUACACAAAAAUUGACUUAUUUAUAUAAAAUUUGUAAAAACUGAAAUUGUGUGGACGUUAUACAAAAUUAAUUUGUAUAGAAAAUGUCUAAAAAUUUGAAAUACAUAAAAUUAUAGUUGUACUUGUAUAAAAUUGAAAAGUAAUUUUUUAUAUAAGUCAAUCAUUGUUCGUUUUUNAAGAACUUGAGACAUUCGCAACAAAAAUUUUAUGUUUUAGUUAUAAAAGAGAAGAAUAAUAAGCAAAAAUUAUUGAAGGAAUUGAUAUAUGCCAAUUUGA
RNAcentral lists this ribosomal RNA (482 nucleotides) under Belvosia sp. Woodley04A. Its description in RNAcentral is "partial ribosomal RNA". Lineage: Eukaryota; Metazoa; Arthropoda; Insecta; Diptera; Tachinidae. The record is from RNAcentral.